GAUGAAGAACGCAGCGAAAUGCGAUACUUGGUGUGAAUUGCAGAAUCCCGUGAACCAUCGAGUCUUUGAACGCAAGUUGCGCCCGAAGCCACUAGGCCGAGGGCACGCCUGCCUGGGCGUCACACGCCGUUGCCCCCCCAUCUACUCCUUCGGGAUUGCGGGGGGGCGGAUGAUGGCCUCCCGUGCGCCUAGCCGCGCGGUUAGCCCAAAAGCGAGUCCUCGGCGACGAGCGCCACGACAAUCGGUGGUUUUUUUACCCUCGUUCCUCGUCGUGCGUGUCCCGUCGCCCGAACGUGCUCUUGUGACCCUCACGCGUCGCCUCGGCGGCGCUCCCAACGCGACCCCAGGUCAGGCGGGACUACCCGCUGAGUUUAAGCAUAUCAAUAAGCGGAGGA
RNAcentral lists this unclassified non-coding RNA (395 nucleotides) under soil metagenome. RNAcentral describes it as "partial contains 5.8S ribosomal RNA, internal transcribed spacer 2, and large subunit ribosomal RNA". The stretch from base 1 to 122 matches the Rfam family "5.8S ribosomal RNA", at positions 35 to 154 of the family's 154-position model. The record is from RNAcentral.